This 433-nucleotide ribosomal RNA is filed under the name uncultured bacterium. RNAcentral's name for it is "partial 16S ribosomal RNA". It matches the Rfam family "Bacterial small subunit ribosomal RNA", at positions 29 to 507 of the family's 1533-position model. The record is from RNAcentral.
AACGAACGCUGGCGGCAUGCCUAACACAUGCAAGUCGAACGAGACCUUCGGGUCUAGUGGCGCACGGGUGCGUAACGCGUGGGAACCUGCCCUUAGGUUCGGAAUAAUUCCCCGAAAGGGGUGCUAAUACCGGAUAAUGUCUUCGGACCAAAGAUUUAUCGCCUUUGGAUGGGCCCGCGUUGGAUUAGCUAGUUGGUAGGGUAAAAGCCUAUUAAGGCGACGAUCCAUAGCUGGUCUGAGAGGAUGGUCAGCCACACUGGGACUGAGACACGGCCCAGACUCCUACGGGAGGCAGCAGUGGGGAAUAUUGGACAAGGGGCGAAAGCCUGAACCAGCAAUGCCGCGUGAGUGAUGAAGGCCUUAGGGUAGUAAAGCUCUUUUACCCGGGAUGAUAAUGACAGUACCGGAAGAAUAAGCUCCGGCUAACUCCGUG